CCUACGGGGGACUGCAGUCGAGAAUCAUUCACAAUGGGGGAAACCCUGAUGGUGCGACGCCGCGUGGGGGAAUGAAGGUCUUCGGAUUGUAAACCCCUGUCAUGUGGGAGCAAAUUAAAAAGAUAGUACCACACGAGGAAGAGACGGCUAACUCUGUGCCAGCAGCCGCGGUAAUACAGAGGUCUCAAGCGUUGUUCGGAAUCACUGGGCGUAAAGCGUGCGUAGGCUGUUUCGUAAGUCGUGUGUGAAAGGCGCGGGCUCAACCCGCGGACGGCACAUGAUACUGCGAGACUAGAGUAAUGGAGGGGGAACCGGAAUUCUCGGUGUAGCAGUGAAAUGCGUAGAUAUCGAGAGGAACACUCGUGGCGAAGGCGGGUUCCUGGACAUUAACUGACGCUGAGGCACGAAGGCCAGGGGAGCGAAAGGGAUUAGAUACCCUAGUAGUC
This 446-nucleotide ribosomal RNA is filed under the name uncultured bacterium. RNAcentral's name for it is "partial 16S ribosomal RNA". It matches the Rfam family "Bacterial small subunit ribosomal RNA", at positions 338 to 795 of the family's 1533-position model. The record is from RNAcentral.